Non-coding RNA from Mycena crocata, 122 nucleotides. NCBI's taxonomy places the organism in Eukaryota, Fungi, Basidiomycota, Agaricomycetes, Agaricales, Mycenaceae. The record is from the annotation of a GenBank genome assembly.
GGUUGGAUGGCCGAGCGGUCUAAGGCGCCAGACUAAGGAUCAGUUUCAUCUUGAAACUUCACUUACAAACCUCGUUUGUAAUCUGGUCCUCCGGGGCGUGGGUUCGAAUCCCACUCCAAUCA